UUGCUGAAGCAGGCAAGUUUUCCCUUGGUGGAAGCUUUAGAUCUUCCUCUUGCUCCACUGCUCUACCAUGCUAUCCUUCAUCUCCUCCAGUCGCCAUGGCUGCCACUCUAAUUUCAGGCAUUAACCACAAAAUAAUAAAGGAUGGAGAGAGGUUUUUGUGUUAAACCUUUGGGUUCAUUAUCUUUGUCUAUCAAUAUGGCUUAUGGAAACCUCCACAAAAUCUUUGCUUAUUUCUCCCUUUUAUCACAUGACACACCAUUCUAUACUCACGGCUAAGGCACUGCCCCCCCCCCCCCCCCCCCCCCCCCCCACCCCCUGUAAUCGUCCUUCUCUUAUCUACAAUAUAUAUACAGACAGUCAGCUCUCUUCCAUCAUUGUAUGUGAGUAGUGUGUUGCAUUACGGAACUAACUGAUCUAAGAGAGACAUGCGAUGGUAGGGUGCAUCGUCAAAGGUAUAUUAGUCAACUUAGCAUCGCAAGUCAACUAUAUCGAUGGAAAAUUAUCAAGUGCAGCUAUAAUUUCUUCUACUAUUCUCCCCGAAAAGCACCUAUCAGUAACAUCUACCCUGCGUAAAGAAACAAACGGAAAGAAAGAUAAGAAACAGAUGUCCCCUGCUCUUUUUGAAUCGCACAAAUCUUCCUUUCAAGUUGUAAUGAGAAUUGGAUUCGCUAAAGAGAGCAAAUGAAAAAGCUAACACCGAUACAAGGUCUGGAAUUUUCAAAACAUGUUAUGUAAUCAUGAUCAGUAACACAGAGCAUAUGACAUAGAAUGCGUGAGAUUUUGGCAAUGACAAAAUAAUAAUCUAUUCAACAAACUCCGGUACAAUAGAAAGAACUAAAGAUAUACACUUGCCUGUGGUAAGCACUCUGCUGUUUCAGGUGCGGAUGCUGAGAGUAUGCAUCGAGAAUUGUUGAGGUAAAGGUUAAAGAUCUGCUUCCAAUGCAGUCAACCUUGGCGAAGCAAAUAGUGGUUGGCACUAGUAUCUAUACAAAUUUUAAAAAGUCAUUCAGAAUU
Long non-coding RNA from Brassica rapa (field mustard), 1014 nucleotides. RefSeq lists it as uncharacterized. Lineage: Eukaryota; Viridiplantae; Streptophyta; Magnoliopsida; Brassicales; Brassicaceae. The record is from RefSeq and is a predicted model, not a curated record.